Pelobates cultripes (western spadefoot toad) is the source of this 208-nucleotide non-coding RNA. The record is from the annotation of a GenBank genome assembly. Lineage: Eukaryota; Metazoa; Chordata; Amphibia; Anura; Pelobatidae.
CUCCUGUAUAUUGUAUAUCUAUCUUCCCUUUGUCUUAACUUUUAAAGGGCCAGACUCUCUGUACGUCAUCAGUUGAUAACCCAAUAGAAGCACUAGAGGUGUGGUUAUCUUCCAGAUCGCAAAUUAGUUAUUUGGUCUGUAGAGGGCAGUCUUGUCCCACUAAACAUACCUAUCCAGGAAAGAGUUAACUUUUCCUGGUGGCUAUUUU